This 493-nucleotide ribosomal RNA is filed under the name Thoropa miliaris (rock river frog). RNAcentral's name for it is "partial small subunit ribosomal RNA". It matches the Rfam family "Bacterial small subunit ribosomal RNA", at positions 794 to 1523 of the family's 1533-position model. The record is from RNAcentral. Lineage: Eukaryota; Metazoa; Chordata; Amphibia; Anura; Cycloramphidae.
GUUCAGCCGUAAACUUUAAAUUACAACCCUAAUCGCCAGGGAACUACGAGCAAUGCUUAAAACUCAAAGGACUUGACGGUACCCCAUAUCCCCCUAGAGGAGCCUGUCCUAUAAUCGAUAAUCCCCGUUUAACCUCACCACUUUUAGCUUAUCAACCUGUAUACCUCCGUCGUCAGCUUACCUCGUGAGCGUAAUCUAGUGAGCUUAAUGUCUCCACAUCAAUACGUCAGGUCAAGGUGCAGUUUAUAAAGUGGGAAGAGAUGGGCUACACUUUCUAAUUUAGAAAAUACGAAAAACUACCUAUGAAAUCUAGUUGGAAGGCGGAUUUAGCAGUAAAAAGAAAACAGAGUAUUCUUUUUAAUUUGGCACUGGGGUGUGUACACACCGCCCGUCACCCUCUUCAAAGCUUAUGAAAAGUAAUUUAACUAAUUUUUGCAACUAUAGAAGAGGCAAGUCGUAACAUGGUAAGUAUACCGGAAGGUGUGCUUGGAUU